CGGUCACACUGGGACUGAGACACGGCCCAGACUCCUACGGGAGGCAGCAGCUAAGAAUCUUCCGCAAUGGGCGAAAGCCUGACGGAGCGACGCCGCGUGGACGAAGAAGGCCGGAAGGUUGUAAAGUCCUUUUCCUGGGGGAGAAUAAAGCGGGGAGGGAAUGCCCCGCACAUGACGUGAACCAGGGAAUAAGCCCCGGCUAAUUACGUGCCAGCAGCCGCGGUAACACGUAGGGGGCGAGCGUUGUUCGGAUUUAUUGGGCGUAAAGGGCGCGUAGGCGGUAGUGCAAGUCCGGUGUGAAAUCCCCCGGCUCAACCGGCAGAUGCGCUGGAAACUGUGCUGCUAGAGUCUAGGAGGGGAAGCUGGAAUUCCUGGUGUAGGGGUGAAAUCUGUAGAGAUCAGGAAGAACACCGGAGGCGAAGGCGAGCUUCUGGCCAUAGACUGACGCUGAGGCGCGAAAGCGUGGGGAGCGAACAGGAUUAGAUACCCUGGUAGUCCACGCUGUAAACGAUGUGCACUAGGUGUCGGGGGUAUGAACUCUCGGUGCCGGAGCUAACGCGUUAAGUGCACCGCCUGGGGAGUAUGCUCGCAAGGGUGAAACUCAAAGGAAUUGACGGGGGCCCGCACAAGCGGUGGAGCAUGUGGUUUAAUUCGACGAUACGCGAGGAACCUUACCAGGGUUUGACAUAUAGCGGACGGCUGUAGAGAUACCGCUUCCCUUCGGGGCCGCUAUACAGGUGCUGCAUGGUUGUCGUCAGCUCGUGCUGUGAAGUGUUGGGUUAAGUCCCGCAACGAGCGCAACCCCUGCUGUCUGUUACUAUCAGGUAAUGCUGAGGACUCAGACGGUACUGCCGGUGACAAACCGGAGGAAGGUGGGGACGACGUCAAAUCAUCAUGGCCCUUAUGUCCUGGGCUACACACGUGCUACAAUGGCCGGUACAGAGCGAGGCGAAACCGCGAGGUGGAGCGAAUCGCAGAAAGCCGGUCCCAGUUCGGAUUGAAGUCUGAAACCCGACUUCAUGAAGGUGGAAUCGCUAGUAAUCGCGCAUCAGCAUGGCGCGGUGAAUAUGUUCCCGGGCCUUGUACACACCGCCCGUCACACCACCCGAGUUGGGGGUACCCGAAGUCGCUCGUCUAACCGGUAACGGAGGACGGUGCCGAAGGUACGCUUGGUAAGGGGGGUGAAGUCGGAACAAGGUA
RNAcentral lists this ribosomal RNA (1200 nucleotides) under metagenome. RNAcentral's name for it is "bacterial SSU rRNA". It matches the Rfam family "Bacterial small subunit ribosomal RNA", at positions 305 to 1498 of the family's 1533-position model. The record is from RNAcentral.